GACGAACGCUGGCGGCGUGCUUAACACAUGCAAGUCGAGCGGAAAGGCCACUUCGGUGGUACUCGAGCGGCGAACGGGUGAGUAACACGUGAGUAAUCUGCCCCUGGCUUUGGGAUAGCCACCGGAAACGGUGAUUAAUACCGGAUACGACCACUUCUCGCAUGGGAUGGUGGUGGAAAGUUUUUUCGGCCAGGGAUGUGCUCGCGGCCUAUCAGCGUGAUGGUGAGGUAAUGGCUCACCAUGGCUUCGACGGGUAGCCGGCCUGAGAGGGUGAACGGUCACACUGGGACUGGGGCACGGCCCAGACUCCUACGGGAGGCAGCAGUGGGGAAUAUUGGACAAUGGGCGGAAGCCUGAUCCAGCAACGCCGCGUGAGGGAUGACGGCCUUCGGGUUGUAAACCUCUUUCAGCAGGGACGAAGCGCAAGUGACGGUACCUGCAGAAGAAGCACCGGCCAACUACGUGCCAGCCGCCGCCGUAA
Molecule: ribosomal RNA, 481 nt
Filed under: uncultured bacterium
Lineage: Bacteria
Description: partial 16S ribosomal RNA
Rfam family: Bacterial small subunit ribosomal RNA
Source: RNAcentral